RNAcentral lists this small RNA (417 nucleotides) under Pan troglodytes (chimpanzee). Its description in RNAcentral is "retained intron". The record is from RNAcentral. Lineage: Eukaryota; Metazoa; Chordata; Mammalia; Primates; Hominidae.
GCCCUCUUUUGCAGGGUUGUGGACUUCCUGCUGAAGGCCAUCAUGCGCACCAUGUGGUUCGCCGGCGGCUUCCACCGGGUGGCCGUGAAGGGGCGGCAGGCGCUGCCCACCGAGGCGGCCAUCCUCACGCUCGCGCCUCACUCGUCCUACUUCGACGCCAUCCCGGUGACCAUGACGAUGUCCUCCAUCGUGAUGAAGGCAGAGAGCAGAGACAUCCCGAUCUGGGGAACUCUGAUCCGGUAUAUACGGCCUGUGUUCGUGUCCCGGUCAGACCAGGAUUCUCGCAGGAAAACAGUAGAAGAAAUCAAGAGACGGGCGCAGUCAAACGGAAAGUGGCCACAGAUAAUGAUUUUUCCAGAAGGAACUUGUACAAACAGGACCUGCCUAAUUACCUUCAAACCUGGUAUGUAGUUUUCU